RNAcentral lists this transfer RNA (84 nucleotides) under Haliotis rufescens (red abalone). RNAcentral describes it as "tRNA-Leu". It matches the Rfam family "tRNA". Rfam says of the family: Transfer RNA (tRNA) molecules are approximately 80 nucleotides in length. Their secondary structure includes four short double-helical elements and three loops (D, anti-codon, and T loops). Further hydrogen bonds mediate the characteristic L-shaped molecular structure. tRNAs have two regions of fundamental functional importance: the anti-codon, which is responsible for specific mRNA codon recognition, and the 3' end, to which the tRNAs corresponding amino acid is attached (by aminoacyl-tRNA synthetases). tRNAs cope with the degeneracy of the genetic code in two manners: having more than one tRNA (with a specific anti-codon) for a particular amino acid; and 'wobble' base-pairing, i.e. permitting non-standard base-pairing at the 3rd anti-codon position. Lineage: Eukaryota; Metazoa; Mollusca; Gastropoda; Lepetellida; Haliotidae. The record is from RNAcentral.
AGCACGGUGGCCGAGUGGUUAAGGCGUUGGACUUAAGAUCCAAUGGACGUAUGUCCGCGUGGGUUCGAACCCCCAUCCGUGCUG